UGAUCCAGCAAUGCCGCGUGUGUGGAAGAACGGCUUCGGGUUGUAAAGCACUUUUGUCCGGAAAGAAAUCCUUGGCUCUAAUACCAGGUCGGGGGAUGACCGGUACCCGGAAGAAUAAGCACCGGCUAACUACGUGCCAGCAGCCGCGGUAAUACGUAGGGUGCGAGCCGUUAAUUCGGGAAAUUACUGGGCGUAAAGCGUGCGCAGGCGGGUUUGCUAAGACCGAUGUGAAAUCCCCGGGCUCAACCUGGGAACUGCAUUGGUGACUGGCAGGCUAGAGUAUGGCAGAGGGGGGGUAGAAUUCCACGUGUAGCAGUGAAAUGCGUAGAGAUGUGGAGGAAUACCGAUGGCGAAGGCAGCCCCCUGGGCCAAUACUGACGCUCAUGCACGAAAGCGUGGGGAGCAAACAGGAUUAGAUACCCUGGUAGUCCACGCCCUAAACGAUGUCAACUAGUUGUUGGGGAUUCAUUUCCUUAGUAACGUAGCUAACGCGUGAAGUUGACCGCCUGGGGAGUACGGUCGCAAGAUUAAAACUCAAAGGAAUUGACGGGGACCCGCACAAGCGGUGGAUGAUGUGGAUUAAUUUCGAUGCAACGCGAAAAACCCUUACCCUACUCCUUUGACAUGGUCGGAAUCCCCCGCUGAGAGGUGGGAGUGCUUCGAAAAGAAGAACCGGCGCACAGGUGCUGCAUGGCUGGUCGGUCAGCUCGUGUCCGUGAGAAUGUUGGGUUAAGUCCCGGCCAAUCGAGGC
RNAcentral lists this ribosomal RNA (751 nucleotides) under Burkholderia sp. Its description in RNAcentral is "bacterial SSU rRNA". It matches the Rfam family "Bacterial small subunit ribosomal RNA", at positions 384 to 1097 of the family's 1533-position model. Lineage: Bacteria; Pseudomonadati; Pseudomonadota; Betaproteobacteria; Burkholderiales; Burkholderiaceae. The record is from RNAcentral. RNAcentral also lists the same sequence under 1 other name.